UGGUUCUGGCAUCGAUGAAAAACGCAGCGAAAUGCGAUAAGUAAUGCGAAUUGCAGAAUUCAGUGAAUCAUCGAAUCUUUGAACGCACAUUGCGCCCCUUGGUAUUCCGAGGGGCAUGCCUGUUCGAGCGUUAUUAUAACCCCUCAAGCCUUAGCUUGGCCUUGGGGCCUGCCUAUGCGGCAGCCCCUAAAACCAGUGGCGGCGUCCUCGUGGCUCUAAGCGUAGUACUUUCUUCCGCUAUAGGGUCCACGGCGGUGCUUGCCAGCAACCCCCAAUUUCCUCUAUGGUUAACCUCGGAUCAGGUAGGGAUACCCGCUGA
This 319-nucleotide unclassified non-coding RNA is filed under the name uncultured fungus. Its description in RNAcentral is "partial contains 5.8S ribosomal RNA and internal transcribed spacer 2". The stretch from base 1 to 133 matches the Rfam family "5.8S ribosomal RNA", at positions 22 to 154 of the family's 154-position model. Lineage: Eukaryota; Fungi. The record is from RNAcentral.